This 483-nucleotide ribosomal RNA is filed under the name uncultured bacterium. RNAcentral describes it as "bacterial SSU rRNA". It matches the Rfam family "Bacterial small subunit ribosomal RNA", at positions 28 to 507 of the family's 1533-position model. The record is from RNAcentral.
GAUGAACGCUAGCUACAGGCUUAACACAUGCAAGUCGAGGGGUAGCAGGGUAGCAAUACCGCUGACGACCGGCGCACGGGUGAGUAACACGUAUCCAACCUUCCCAUAACUCGGGGAUAGCCUUUCGAAAGAAAGAUUAAUACCCGAUGGUACUUAUAUAAGGCAUCUUAAAUAAGUUAAAGAUUUAUUGGUUAUGGAUGGGGAUGCGUUCCAUUAGAUAGUUGGUGAGGUAACGGCUCACCAAGUCUUCGAUGGAUAGGGGUUCUGAGAGGAAGGUCCCCCACAUUGGUACUGAGACACGGACCAAACUCCUACGGGAGGCAGCAGUGAGGAAUAUUGGGUCAAUGGGCGAGAGCCUGAACCAGCCAAGUAGCGUGAAGGAUGAAGGUCCUAUGGAUUGUAAACUUCUUUUAUAGUAGAAUAAAGUGACCCACGUGUGGGUUUUUGUAUGUAUACUAUGAAUAAGGAUCGGCUAACUCCGUG